GGUGCAACAACGUGUGAUGCCGGC
RNAcentral lists this non-coding RNA (24 nucleotides) under Drosophila melanogaster (fruit fly). The record is from RNAcentral. Lineage: Eukaryota; Metazoa; Arthropoda; Insecta; Diptera; Drosophilidae.